Molecule: ribosomal RNA, 441 nt
Filed under: Pristimantis conspicillatus (chirping robber frog)
Lineage: Eukaryota; Metazoa; Chordata; Amphibia; Anura; Strabomantidae
Also listed under: 1 other name
Description: partial 16S ribosomal RNA
Rfam family: Bacterial large subunit ribosomal RNA
Source: RNAcentral
GAGGUCCAGCCUGCCCAGUGACGUUCAACGGCCGCGGUAUCCUAACCGUGCAAAGGUAGCGUAAUCACUUGUCUUUUAAAUAAAGACUAGUAUGAAAGGCACCACGAGAAUUAAACUGUCUCCUUUUUCCAAUCAAUGAACCUAAUACCCCCGUGAAGAAGCGGGGAUUUUACAAUAAGACGAGAAGACCCUAUGGAGCUUUAAACAAUUAUAUGUUUUUGGUUGGGGUGACCGCGGAGAAAAACCUAUCCCCCGCGAUGAAAAACAAGCCACAACUUUAUGUAUCAACAAAUUGACACCAUUGACCCAAUAUAUUGAUUAACGAACCAAGUUACCCUAGGGAUAACAGCGCAAUCCACUUCAAGAGCUCCUAUCGACAAGUGGGCUUACGACCUCGAUGUUGGAUCAGGGUAUCCUAGUGGUGCAGCCGCUACUAAGGGC